GGGCGGUUAGCUCAUCAGGAUAGAGUGCAGGUCUCCGAAGCCUGAGGUAGUGGGUUCGAUUCCCGCACCGCCCG
Molecule: transfer RNA, 74 nt
Filed under: Deferribacteraceae bacterium
Lineage: Bacteria; Pseudomonadati; Deferribacterota; Deferribacteres; Deferribacterales; Deferribacteraceae
Also listed under: 1 other name
Description: tRNA-Arg
Rfam family: tRNA
About the family: Transfer RNA (tRNA) molecules are approximately 80 nucleotides in length. Their secondary structure includes four short double-helical elements and three loops (D, anti-codon, and T loops). Further hydrogen bonds mediate the characteristic L-shaped molecular structure. tRNAs have two regions of fundamental functional importance: the anti-codon, which is responsible for specific mRNA codon recognition, and the 3' end, to which the tRNAs corresponding amino acid is attached (by aminoacyl-tRNA synthetases). tRNAs cope with the degeneracy of the genetic code in two manners: having more than one tRNA (with a specific anti-codon) for a particular amino acid; and 'wobble' base-pairing, i.e. permitting non-standard base-pairing at the 3rd anti-codon position.
Source: RNAcentral